Molecule: ribosomal RNA, 253 nt
Filed under: uncultured bacterium
Lineage: Bacteria
Description: partial 16S ribosomal RNA
Rfam family: Bacterial small subunit ribosomal RNA
Source: RNAcentral
UACGUAGGGUGCGAGCGUUGUCCGGAAUUACUGGGCGUAAAGAGCUCGUAGGUGGUUUGUCGCGUUGUUCGUGAAAACUCACAACUCAAUUGUGGGCGUGCGGGCGAUACGGGCAGACUGGAGUACUGCAGGGGAGACUGGAAUUCCUGGUGUAGCGGUGGAAUGCGCAGAUAUCAGGAGGAACACCGGUGGCGAAGGCGGGUCUCUGGGCAGUAACUGACGCUGAGGAGCGAAAGCAUGGGGAGCAAACAGG